This is a non-coding RNA of Phascolarctos cinereus (koala), 678 nucleotides long. Lineage: Eukaryota; Metazoa; Chordata; Mammalia; Diprotodontia; Phascolarctidae. The record is from RefSeq and is a predicted model, not a curated record.
UUCUCUUUCCCUGGUUUACAUAAUUAUAAACAGGGUCAUUUAAAAGGGAGAUUUUGGAGUACUUUGAUGGAGAGAUAGGGACACCAACUCUCUGCCAGAGGUGGACCAUGUGCACGGCCUUCAUUGUGUCCCGGGGUGAGAAGCUCCCCCUUGCCUCCCUGACCAGACGUUUUGGCCGUCCUCCAGUCUCCCUGGUAUUUGAGCUCGCCUGGCAUUUAUUGGACAUCUACCAUAAGCCAGAUAUUAUGCUAGGAGUUGUGAAUACAAAGACAAAUUGAAACUGCUAAUUGGGCAUAUCCCUCAAGAAGCUUGCACCGUGGAGGUGGGGAAACAAGAGCCAACUUAAAUCCUGUGGCAACCAGAACCCACAUCAGUGGCAAUGGUGUGGCACUGGGGAGACACAACCCCCAAUGGCCCGUCACCGCAGCUCCCGAGCUUACCUCCAAAGAGUCUUCUGUUAGAGUAACCUCUUAGAAGGUACAAUCCUGAAACUGGGCUUGAGGCAGAGGCAUCACAGUGUGGUGAAAUGGAAAGAAAACUGCCUGAAAUCUACUUCUGAGUCUGAGUUAAAUCACUUCCUGGCUAUAUGUCCAGUGUAAGAUACUUAACCUCCCUGACCCUCAGUUUCUCCAUCAAUAAAAGGAUAAUUGCCUCAACAGAUGGUUUAGAGAAAGAAUG